RNAcentral lists this ribosomal RNA (301 nucleotides) under uncultured bacterium. Its description in RNAcentral is "partial 16S ribosomal RNA". It matches the Rfam family "Bacterial small subunit ribosomal RNA", at positions 509 to 807 of the family's 1533-position model. The record is from RNAcentral.
CAGCAGCCACGGUAAUACGAAGGGGGCUAGCGUUGUUCGGAUUUACUGGGCGUAAAGGGUGCGUAGGCGGACUGAUAAGUCAGGGGUGAAAUCCCAAGGCUCAACCUUGGAACUGCCUUUGAUACUGUUAGUCUUGAGUUCGAGAGAGGUGAGUGGAACUGCGAGUGUAGAGGUGAAAUUCGUAGAUAUUCGCAAGAACACCAGUGGCGAAGGCGGCUCACUGGCUCGAAACUGACGCUGAGGCACGAAAGCGUGGGGAGCAAACAGGAUUAGAUACCCGCGUAGUCCCUGUCUCUUAUAC